AGGACGAACGCUGGCGGCGUGCUUAACACAUGCAAGUCGAGCGGAAAGGCCCUUCGGGGUACUCGAGCGGCGAACGGGUGAGUAACACGUGAGCAAUCUGCCCUUAGCUCCGGGAUAGCUCCGGGAAACCGGAUUAAUACCGGAUACGACCACAGCCGACAUCUGCUGUGGUGGAAAGGAUUCCGGCUAAGGAUGGGCUCGCGGCCUAUCAGCUAGUUGGUGGAGUAACGGCCCACCAAGGCGACGACGGGUA
Molecule: ribosomal RNA, 253 nt
Filed under: uncultured bacterium
Lineage: Bacteria
Description: partial small subunit ribosomal RNA
Rfam family: Bacterial small subunit ribosomal RNA
Source: RNAcentral